GGGAACAUCAAGAUUUCUGUGUGUCAGAGGCAUUUUCUAAGGCUAGUAGAAACCAUUAGGGCAAAAUAUACACUAAAUUAACCAUACUUGGCCAGAUCCUGGCCCCUGCUAGGACCUCUUCACACUGCUCAACCAGUGUUUCAUGUUUGCAGCCAGCCCAUAGAAAAGACCUUUGCAAAGCACAAAAGUAACAUCAAUGGGGCUACGUGUGAGAGUCCUGUGAGCAGGAUUGGGUGCCUGGUGUCCUCUGAGCAUCUGAUGAGAUCAGAGCCACCAGCACACCGAGAAGCAUUCUCCGUUGCACAGCUGCAGGGAUAUACAACUUGUUAUCUUUUUUGAAAAUCACUGUCUGAAAGGAGGAUACAGACAUGUCACUCUAUCUGAAGUUACCAUUGGCUCUGCUUCUUCUGUCAACUCACAAGGAUGCUCGGGAGAUGAUAGCAGCCUGCCAGGACCUUCCCAGAUUCUUUCCUAUUCUCAUGAAAGCAGAGAAAGCAUUUUUAAUCUUCAUGACUGACUCAGCAGAAAUUGAGAGAUUCAAAAAUGUUCCUUCCGCUCCAUGGUAACUAAUGUUAGUAUGAACAGAUUGCUUAGCCCAUACUCUCUCUCCCACAAUCUGUUGAAUACAUGAAUUAACACAGGCAUUUUCUGGCUCUCUCUGUUCCCUGAUGUUGUGGUUAUUGUUUAACAAUCAGAUCUAAAUGUUUGAUUCUGGGUUUCAUUCAGUACUAAUAUUACCGUAAAAGUAAAAAUCUAGAUCUGUCAACAUCAUACAGGCAUGAGAUACUCUCGUAUUGCUUACUGAUCCUGCCCUGUUCGCACACAAUAUGCAGUUCAGUAACAAUAUACAGCAACAUUCUCCAUUCUUAAAUAGUCCUAAAGCAGGCAAAAACUCUCAUCCAAGUUUCAGUCUCUGAUAAAGAUUUAAAACUGUCAAGAUUUUGAGAUUUGGCCCGUUAAAAAAAAACACAAGGUGGCGUGGUAUUGGCAUGCCUGUGGGAUACCUGCUGCUCAUCCCAAAUGAUUGAUUGUGACAGAAUAUACCCCUGUGUCCACACCCUAGACAGUAUUGUAAUGUUUGUACAAGGUAUACCUUGUGAGGUAUUUAAAAACUCAUAACUUGCUGAUCAAUAAUAUCAUGGUAAAAUGCACAUAGCAACAUUAUAUGUAAAGUUAUGAACAUAUGCUGCCAUCAUGGCUGUAAUAUGUUUCCCAGAUGAAUCUGGAGAGUGGCUAAACCAGUUUGUCAGCAACAAGAGACAAGCCGACGCCUCAGCCAGGUGUCAAAAAGGCUGACGGACCGUUACCUGCUAAGUCGUCAUUCUUUGGCAAGCAAGGGGGCAGGGACAAAAAUCUACAUCUGAGCAAAGAAACAGCAUGGAGUUUCCUCUCUUCACCAGACUGCCUACUGCCUUGCUCCCAGCUGGAAAUGCUUCUCAUAGUGGGGACAGGACUACAAACAGAUGGGGCAGACACCCCAAGACACCUCUCUUCUCCCUCCCUCUCUCUCUCUGGCAUACUCUUGGUGGGGGAGGAGUCCUGACCUGAGAGAUUGGUCAGUAAUCUGCUGGAGCAUGUGAUGUGAAACUUUGCUUGAAUCUAAUAUGGUUUGCUAAAUUAGACACUAGUAAAUCUAUUAUCUUUAUAUUUCUUGUAACCAUUUCUGACUUUAAUGCCUCAUUACUUAUACUCACUUAAAAUCUCUCUCUUUGUAGUUAAUAAACUUGUUUUAUUGUUUUACCUAAUCCA
Chrysemys picta bellii (western painted turtle) is the source of this 1749-nucleotide long non-coding RNA. The record is from Ensembl. Lineage: Eukaryota; Metazoa; Chordata; Testudines; Emydidae.